GUGGGGAAUUUUGGACAAUGGGCGCAAGCCUGAUCCAGCAAUGCCGCGUGCAGGAAGAAGGCCUUCGGGUUGUAAACUGCUUUUGUACGGAACGAAACGGUCCGGGUUAAUACCCUGGGCUAAUGACGGUACCGUAAGAAUAAGCACCGGCUAACUACGUGCCAGCAGCCGCGGUAAUACGUAGGGUGCAAGCGUUAAUCGGAAUUACUGGGCGUAAAGCGUGCGCAGGCGGUUUUGUAAGACAGGCGUGAAAUCCCCGGGCUCAACCUGGGAAUUGCGCUUGUGACUGCAAGGCUGGAGUGCGGCAGAGGGGGAUGGAAUUCCGCGUGUAGCAGUGAAAUGCGUAGAGAUGCGGAGGAACACCGAUGGCGAAGGCAGCCUCCUGGGAUAACACUGACGCUCAGGCACGAAAGCGUGGGGAGCAAACAGGAUUAGAUACCCUGGUAGUCC
RNAcentral lists this ribosomal RNA (450 nucleotides) under uncultured bacterium. RNAcentral's name for it is "partial 16S ribosomal RNA". It matches the Rfam family "Bacterial small subunit ribosomal RNA", at positions 354 to 796 of the family's 1533-position model. The record is from RNAcentral.